RNAcentral lists this ribosomal RNA (486 nucleotides) under uncultured bacterium. Its description in RNAcentral is "partial 16S ribosomal RNA". It matches the Rfam family "Bacterial small subunit ribosomal RNA", at positions 30 to 507 of the family's 1533-position model. The record is from RNAcentral.
AUUGAACGCUGGCGGCAUGCCUUACACAUGCAAGUCGAACGGCAGCACGGGUGCUUGCACCUGGUGGCGAGUGGCGAACGGGUGAGUAAUACAUCGGAACAUGUCCUGUAGUGGGGGAUAGCCCGGCGAAAGCCGGAUUAAUACCGCAUACGAUCUACGGAUGAAAGCGGGGGACCUUCGGGCCUCGCGCUAUAGGGUUGGCCGAUGGCUGAUUAGCUAGUUGGUGGGGUAAAGGCCUACCAAGGCGACGAUCAGUAGCUGGUCUGAGAGGACGACCAGCCACACUGGGACUUAGACACGGCCCAGACUCCUACGGGAGGCAGCAGUGGGGAAUUUUGGACAAUGGGCGAAAGCCUGAUCCAGCAAUGCCGCGUGUGUGAAGAAGGCCUUCGGGUUGUAAAGCACUUUUGUCCGGAAAGAAAUCCUUGGCUCUAAUACAGUCGGGGGAUGACGGUACCGGAAGAAUAAGCACCGGCUAACUACGUG